UGCAGUCGAGCGGUAGCACAGAGAGCUUGCUCUCGGGUGACGAGCGGCGGACGGGUGAGUAAUGUCUGGGAAACUGCCUGAUGGAGGGGGAUAACUACUGGAAACGGUAGCUAAUACCGCAUAACGUCGCAAGACCAAAGUGGGGGACCUUCGGGCCUCAUGCCAUCAGAUGUGCCCAGAUGGGAUUAGCUAGUAGGUGGGGUAAUGGCUCACCUAGGCGACGAUCCCUAGCUGGUCUGAGAGGAUGACCAGCCACACUGGAACUGAGACACGGUCCAGACUCCUACGGGAGGCAGCAGUGGGGAAUAUUGCACAAUGGGCGCAAGCCUGAUGCAGCCAUGCCGCGUGUAUGAAGAAGGCCUUCGGGUUGUAAAGUACUUUCAGCGAGGAGGAAGGCGUUAAGGUUAAUAACCUUAGCGAUUGACGUUACUCGCAGAAGAAGCACCGGCUAACUCCGUGCCAGCAGCCGCGGUAAUACGGAGGGUGCAAGCGUUAAUCGGAAUUACUGGGCGUAAAGCGCACGCAGGCGGUCUGUCAAGUCGGAUGUGAAAUCCCCGGGCUCAACCUGGGAACUGCAUUCGAAACUGGCAGGCUAGAGUCUUGUAGAGGGGGGUAGAAUUCCAGGUGUAGCGGUGAAAUGCGUAGAGAUCUGGAGGAAUACCGGUGGCGAAGGCGGCCCCCUGGACAAAGACUGACGCUCAGGUGCGAAAGCGUGGGGAGCAAACAGGAUUAGAUACCCUGGUAGUCCACGCCGUAAACGAUGUCGACUUGGAGGUUGUGCCCUUGAGGCGUGGCUUCCGGAGCUAACGCGUUAAGUCGACCGCCUGGGGAGUACGGCCGCAAGGUUAAAACUCAAAUGAAUUGACGGGGGCCCGCACAAGCGGUGGAGCAUGUGGUUUAAUUCGAUGCAACGCGAAGAACCUUACCUACUCUUGACAUCCAGAGAACUUAGCAGAGAUGCUUUGGUGCCUUCGGGAACUCUGAGACAGGUGCUGCAUGGCUGUCGUCAGCUCGUGUUGUGAAAUGUUGGGUUAAGUCCCGCAACGAGCGCAACCCUUAUCCUUUGUUGCCAGCGGUCCGGCCGGGAACUCAAAGGAGACUGCCAGUGAUAAACUGGAGGAAGGUGGGGAUGACGUCAAGUCAUCAUGGCCCUUACGAGUAGGGCUACACACGUGCUACAAUGGCAUAUACAAAGAGAAGCGACCUCGCGAGAGCAAGCGGACCUCAUAAAGUAUGUCGUAGUCCGGAUUGGAGUCUGCAACUCGACUCCAUGAAGUCGGAAUCGCUAGUAAUCGUAGAUCAGAAUGCUACGGUGAAUACGUUCCCGGGCCUUGUACACACCGCCCGUCACACCAUGGGAGUGGGUUGCAAAAGAAGUAGGUAGCUUAACCUUCGGGAGGGCGCUAC
RNAcentral lists this ribosomal RNA (1407 nucleotides) under Klebsiella aerogenes. Its description in RNAcentral is "bacterial SSU rRNA". It matches the Rfam family "Bacterial small subunit ribosomal RNA". The record is from RNAcentral. Lineage: Bacteria; Pseudomonadati; Pseudomonadota; Gammaproteobacteria; Enterobacterales; Enterobacteriaceae.